UACAGAGGGUGCGAGCGUUAAUCGGAAUUACUGGGCGUAAAGCGCGCGUAGGCGGCUUUGCAAGUCGGGUGUGAAAUCCCCAGGCUUAACCUGGGAACUGCAUUCGAGACUGCAUUGCUAGAGUAUGGGAGAGGGCAGUGGAAUUUCCGGUGUAGCGGUGAAAUGCGUAGAUAUCUGGAGGAACACCGGUGGCGAAGGCGGCAUCCUGGACCAACACUGACACUGAGGAGCGAAAGCCAGGGGAGCAAACGGG
This 253-nucleotide ribosomal RNA is filed under the name uncultured bacterium. RNAcentral's name for it is "partial 16S ribosomal RNA". It matches the Rfam family "Bacterial small subunit ribosomal RNA", at positions 524 to 776 of the family's 1533-position model. The record is from RNAcentral.